GAUGAACGCUAGCUACAGGCUUAACACAUGCAAGUCGAGGGGAAACGACAUUGAAGCUUGCUUCGAUGGGCGUCGACCGGCGCACGGGUGAGUAACGCGUAUCCAACCUGCCUCUGACUAAGGGAUAACCCGGCGAAAGUCGGACUAAUACCUUAUGAGGUUUUCAGCAGACAUCUAAUGAAAACGAAAGAUUUAUCGGUCAGUGAUGGGGAUGCGUCUGAUUAGCUUGUUGGCGGGGUAACGGCCCACCAAGGCAACGAUCAGUAGGGGUUCUGAGAGGAAGGUCCCCCACAUUGGAACUGAGACACGGUCCAAACUCCUACGGGAGGCAGCAGUGAGGAAUAUUGGUCAAUGGGCGAGAGCCUGAACCAGCCAAGUAGCGUGCAGGAUGGCGGCCCUCCGGGUUGUAAACUGCUUUUAGUUGGGAAUAAAAAGGAGGACGUGUCCUCUAUUGUAUGUACCUUCAGAAAAAGGACCGGCUAAUUCCGUGCCAGCAGCCGCGGUAAUACGGAAGGUCCAGGCGUUAUCCGGAUUUAUUGGGUUUAAAGGGAGCGUAGGCGGAUUAUUAAGUCAGUGGUGAAAGACGGUGGCUCAACCAUCGUUAGCCAUUGAAACUGGUAGUCUUGAGUGCAGACAGGGAUGCUGGAACUCGUGGUGUAGCGGUGAAAUGCUUAGAUAUCACGAUGAACUCCGAUCGCGAAGGCAGGUGUCCGGGCUGCAACUGACGCUGAGGCUCGAAAGUGUGGGUAUCAAACAGG
This 758-nucleotide ribosomal RNA is filed under the name uncultured Prevotella sp. RNAcentral describes it as "bacterial SSU rRNA". It matches the Rfam family "Bacterial small subunit ribosomal RNA", at positions 28 to 776 of the family's 1533-position model. Lineage: Bacteria; Pseudomonadati; Bacteroidota; Bacteroidia; Bacteroidales; Prevotellaceae. The record is from RNAcentral.